GGGUCCCCAACUGCCGCCCAGGCUGCGCGUGGGGCCUGGCAUGGCGGCCUCCAGAGUCCGUUAGGUAAACAGGGAGCUGCACACUCACCAGAAGGAACCACGUGAUCAACAUAGCUAUCAGCUGACCCGACAGCUGCCUCCUGGCUCCCUUAGAUCCACCGCGGAUUUCUGGGCCUUCCUUAUGGACCAGAGCCCAGAAGAAAUACAGAAUGACUCUUCAUGUCUCCCAAGAAGUUGAAUAUUUUGAGGUUCUUGAUAAAAUGAAGUACACAUCCAGGUGUGCAGCUUUGUAUAGAAGCAAUUUAUUAAAAUAAAAGGAAAUACAAUA
Eptesicus fuscus (big brown bat) is the source of this 328-nucleotide long non-coding RNA. RefSeq lists it as uncharacterized. NCBI's taxonomy places the organism in Eukaryota, Metazoa, Chordata, Mammalia, Chiroptera, Vespertilionidae. The record is from RefSeq and is a predicted model, not a curated record. The transcript has 3 exons.